ACUUCCUCUUUAUUCUUGUGUUCUCCAUCCUACAUCUACUUCCUCUUUCUUCUUGUGUUCUCCAUCCUACAUCUACUUCCUCUUUCUUCUUGUGUUCUCCAUCCUACAUCUACUUCCUCUUUUUUCUUCUGUGCUCUCCAUCAUAUAUCUACUUCAUCUUUAUUCUUGUGUUCUCCAUCCUACAUCUACUUCCUCUUUAUUCUUGUGUUCUCCAUCCUACAUCUACUUCCUCUUUCUUCUUGUGUUCUCCAUCCUACAUCUACUUCCUCUUUCUUCUUGUGUUCUCCAUCCUACAUCUACUUCCUCUUUAUUCUUGUGUUCUCCAUCCUACAUCUACUUCCUCUUUAUUCUUGUGUUCUCCAUCCUACAUCUACUUCCUCUUUAUUCUUGUGUUCUCCAUCCUACAUCUACUUCCUCUUUAUUCUUGUGUUCUCCAUCCUACAUCUACUUCCUCUUUCUUCUUGUGUUCUCCAUCCUACAUCUACUUCCUCUUUCUUCUUGUGUUCUCCAUCCUACAUCUACUUCCUCUUUCUUCUUCUGUGCUCGCCAUCCUAUAUCUACUUCAUCUUUAUUCUUGUGUUCUCCAUCCUACAUCUACUUCCUCUUUAUUCUUGUGUUCUCCAUCCUACAUCUACUUCCUCUUUAUUCUUCUGUGUUCUCCAUCCUACAUCUACUUCCUCUUUCUUCUUCUGUACUCUCCAUCCUACAUCUACUUCCUCUUUAUUCUUCUGUGUUCUCCAUCCUACAUCUACUUUCUCUUUCUUCUUCUGUGCUCUCCAUCCUACAUCUACUUCCUCUUUAUUCUUCUUGUGUUCUCCAUCCUACGUCUACUUCCUCUUUCUUCUUCUGUGCUCUCCAUCCUACAUCUACUUCCUCUUUAUUCUUCUUGUGUUCUCCAUCCUACAUCUACUUUCUCUUUCUUCUUCUGUGUUCUCCAUCCUACAUCUACUUCCUCUUUCUUCUUCUGUGCUCUCCAUCCUACAUCUACUUCCUCUUUAUUCUUCUUGUGUUCUCCAUCCUACAUCUACUUCCUCUUUCUUCUUCUGUGCUCUCAUCCUACAUCUACUUCCUCUUUAUUCUUCUGUGUUCUCCAUCCUACAUCUACUUUCUCUUUCUUCUUCUGUGCUCUCCAUCCUACAUCUACUUCCUCUUUAUUCUUCUUGUGUUCUCCAUCCUACAUCUACUUCCUCUUUCUUCUUCUGUGCUCUCCAUCCUACAUCUACUUCCUCUUUAUUCUUCUUGUGUUCUCCAUCCUACAUCUACUUUCUCUUUCUUCUUCUGUGUUCUCCAUCCUACAUCUACUUCCUCUUUAUUCUUGUGUUCUCCAUCCUACAUCUACUUCCUCUUUAUUCUUGUGUUCUCCAUCCUACAUCUACUUCCUCUUUAUUCUUGUGUUCUCCAUCCUACAUCUACUUUCUCUUUCUUCUUCUGUGUUCUCCAUCCUACAUCUACUUCCU
This 1457-nucleotide long non-coding RNA is filed under the name Cottoperca gobio. Its description in RNAcentral is "lncRNA (ENSCGOG00000018890.1)". The record is from RNAcentral. Lineage: Eukaryota; Metazoa; Chordata; Actinopteri; Perciformes; Bovichtidae.